AGUCUCUUCGGAGAUGAGUAGAGUGGCGCACGGGUGAGUAACGCGUGGAUAAUCUACCUAUUGGUACGGGACAACAGUUGGAAACGACUGCUAAUACCGUAUAAGCUGGAAACGGGAAAGGGGGCCUCUUCUUGAAAGCUCUCGCCAGUAGAUGAGUCCGCGUUUCAUUAGCUAGACGGUGGGGUAACGGCCUACCGUGGCAACGAUGAAUAGCAGGCCUGAGAGGGUGGCCUGCCACACUGGGACUGGAACACGGCCCAGACUCCUACGGGAGGCAGCAGUGGGGAAUAUUGCGCAAUGGACGAAAGUCUGACGCAGCGACGCCGCGUGGAGGAUGAAGGUUUUCGGAUCGUAAACUCCUGUCAAGAGGGAAGAAACCUAUUAAGAAUAAUACUCUUAGUAUUGGACGGUACCUCUAGAGGAAGCACC
Molecule: ribosomal RNA, 429 nt
Filed under: uncultured delta proteobacterium
Lineage: Bacteria; Deltaproteobacteria
Description: bacterial SSU rRNA
Rfam family: Bacterial small subunit ribosomal RNA
Source: RNAcentral